AGAUGUGAGGGCGAUCUAGCUGUGACAUCUGUCACUCCACUGAUGAUCGCGAGGGUUGAUUCAGCCGAUCUGGCUGGCUAGGUAGGCGGCGUCCCCUUCCUCCCUCACCACUCCAUGUGCAUUCCUUUCAAAGCUGUGCACUAGGUCAAAGAAAGACGACCAGCCCCCAUAGAAGAGGACCAUUUAUUUCAAGGGUAGAGAAUAGCUGCACUACCCUUCUAAAGCCUCCAAACAAGCUCUCAAGAUGGCUCUCCCCUCACCUGAAAAGAAAUCUUACCAGAUCUGGUUUUAAUCAAAAAUUUUUAACUGUGAACCUGGGCUUU
Molecule: unclassified non-coding RNA, 323 nt
Organism: Fukomys damarensis (Damara mole-rat)
Lineage: Eukaryota; Metazoa; Chordata; Mammalia; Rodentia; Bathyergidae
Gene: 7SK
Rfam family: 7SK RNA
About the family: 7SK was discovered as an abundant small nuclear RNA in the mid-70s but a possible function has only recently been suggested. Two independent studies have found that 7SK RNA binds the CDK9/cyclin T complex (known as elongation factor P-TEFb).
Source: Ensembl